GGUGUUUAGGCGCCGCCGACACGGCACAUGCACCAUUAUAUCAAAGCGGUCGUCAAACAGCAAAAGGUAACUGCUGCAAAUUGUUGAGAAAUUCCCUCGAGUGUUUAUGGGCUCCAUCAUCAAACCUGGUCCUGCGACACAGAUGAUCACACAGCAGGUGAUUGCUAUAAAUUGUUGAAAAGUUCCCUCGACUAUCUUUCGUCUCCAUCAUCAGACUGAAAUGGCACUUAUAACUCAUAUAUAUGCAAAGUUCUCAUCAAUAGAAACGAAUUAAGUUCAAACAGCAGGUAAUUGCUAUAAAUUGUUGAAGAGUUCCCUCGACUAUCUUUCUUCUCCAUCAUCAGAUCUAC
RNAcentral lists this unclassified non-coding RNA (350 nucleotides) under Melitaea cinxia (Glanville fritillary). Its description in RNAcentral is "misc RNA ENSMCXG00005015500.1". The record is from RNAcentral. Lineage: Eukaryota; Metazoa; Arthropoda; Insecta; Lepidoptera; Nymphalidae.